CUUCUAUGUACCACUGAUAGCUGUAAAGAGAUCUUCUCUAUAACAGGCCUGGUGGGUGAGUGGACGGGAUUCUUCGGCUUGACAGUUUACCCUGUCAUGAAUUAUACAGAUUUCCAGUGUUUGUCAUUAGAGUUGUCCCGAGAAGGCAUCUCCAUCGUUCUGAGGAAAAAGACCCAGGACCCUGAAAACCCCCAAUAAAAUCUAAGGUUAAGAACCAGGGGCGGAGUGCCAGGAAGACAACUAAAACCAUCUGGACAUUGCUGGAUUUAAUACCGAACAUGGCAUUUACCAGACUUUCCGCAGUUAGAUAUAUAUUUUAUCUGCUGCAUCAAGAGACAGAUUCCAGGCUUGGUCUCUGUUCUCACCAUUGGACAUGGCAAUUACCGGACUUUCCGCAGUUAGAUAUAUAUUAUAUCUGCUGCAUCAAGAGACAGAUUCCGGGCUUGGUCUCUGUUCUCGCUACUGGAUAUGACACUUACCGGACUUUCCGCAGUCAGAUGUAUAUUUAAUCUGCUGCAUCAAGAGACAGAUUCCGGGCUCGGUCUCUGUUCUCAAUUCUGGACAUGGCAUUUACCUGAUUGUCC
Molecule: long non-coding RNA, 584 nt
Organism: Bufo bufo (common toad)
Lineage: Eukaryota; Metazoa; Chordata; Amphibia; Anura; Bufonidae
Exons: 3
Source: RefSeq, a predicted model, not a curated record